This 472-nucleotide ribosomal RNA is filed under the name uncultured bacterium. Its description in RNAcentral is "partial 16S ribosomal RNA". It matches the Rfam family "Bacterial small subunit ribosomal RNA", at positions 28 to 507 of the family's 1533-position model. The record is from RNAcentral.
GACGAACGCUGGCGGCGUGCUUAACACAUGCAAGUCGAACGCUGAAGCUUGGUGCUUGCACUGGGUGGAUGAGUGGCGAACGGGUGAGUAAUACGUGAGUAACCUGCCCUUGACUCUGGGAUAAGCCUGGGAAACUGGGUCUAAUACUGGAUACGACAUGUCACCGCAUGGUGGUGUGUGGAAAGGGUUUUACUGGUUUUGGAUGGGCUCACGGCCUAUCAGCUUGUUGGUGGGGUAAUGGCUCACCAAGGCGACGACGGGUAGCCGGCCUGAGAGGGUGACCGGCCACACUGGGACUGAGACACGGCCCAGACUCCUACGGGAGGCAGAAGUGGGGAAUAUUGCACAAUGGGCGGAAGCCUGAUGCAGAGACGCCGCGUGAGGGAUGACGUCCUUCGGGUUGUAAACCUCUUUCAGCACGGAAGAAGCGAAAGUGACGGUACGUGCAGAAGAAGCGCCGGCUAACUACGUG